ACACGACUACAUUAGAUACCCGUGUAGUCCUGGCCGUAAACGAUGUGGACUUGGUGUUGGAAUGGCUCCGAGCUGCUCCAGUGCCGAAGGGAAGCUGUUAAGUCCACCGCCUGGGAAGUACGGUCGCAAGACUGAAACUUAGAGGAAUUGGCGGGGGAGCACAACAACGGGUGGAGCUUGCGGUUUAAUUGGAUUCAACGCCGGAAAUCUUACCGGGACCGACAGCAACAUGAAGGCCAAGCUGAAGACUUUGCCGGAUUAGCUG
Molecule: ribosomal RNA, 265 nt
Filed under: uncultured archaeon
Lineage: Archaea
Description: partial 16S ribosomal RNA
Rfam family: Archaeal small subunit ribosomal RNA
Source: RNAcentral